GGAUUGUAGCUCAGUGGAGAGCACUUGCCUGGCAUGUGUGAGGUACUGAGUUCAAUACUCAGCACCA
This 67-nucleotide transfer RNA is filed under the name Marmota monax (woodchuck). RNAcentral describes it as "tRNA.Ala". The stretch from base 5 to 64 matches the Rfam family "tRNA", at positions 6 to 65 of the family's 71-position model. From Rfam's summary of the family: Transfer RNA (tRNA) molecules are approximately 80 nucleotides in length. Their secondary structure includes four short double-helical elements and three loops (D, anti-codon, and T loops). The record is from RNAcentral. Lineage: Eukaryota; Metazoa; Chordata; Mammalia; Rodentia; Sciuridae.